AUUAUAAAUAAAACCCAAAAGCAUAAUUAACUUAACUUUUUUUAAUAUAAUGGGAUUAAUUUUUAAUAUAAUUUUUAUAUUUAUUAAUUCAAUCCCAGGGCGUUCUAUAUGGUUAUGUAUUUUAAUAAGUUUUUUUAAAAUUUAUUAUUUAUACCUCUAACUAGAGCGUACCUUGAGCAUAUAUGCUGUGACCCGAAAGAUGGUGAACUAUACUUGAUCAGGUUGAAGUCAGGGGAAACCCUGAUGGAAGACCGAAACAGUUCUGACGUGCAAAUCGAUUGUCAGAAUUGAGUAUAGGGGCGAAAGACCAAUCGAACCAUCUAGUAGCUGGUUCCCUCCGAAGUUUCUCUCAGGAUAGCUGGUGCAUUUAGAAAUUAUAUAAAAUAAUCUUAUCUGGUAAAGCGAAUGAUUAGAGGCCUUAGGGUCGAAACGACCUUAACCUAUUCUCAAACUUUAAAUGGGUAAGAACCUCACCUUUCUUGAUAUGAAGGUUGAGGUUAUGAUAUAAUGUGCCCAGUGGGCCACUUUUGGUAAGCAGAACUGGCGCUGUGGGAUGAACCAAACGUAAUGUUACGGUGCCAAAAUUAACAACUCAUACAGAUACCAUGAAAGGCGUUGGUUGCUUAAAACAGCAGGACGGUGGACAUGGAAGUCGUAAUCCGCUAAGGAGUGUGUAACAACUCACCUGCCGAAGCAACUAGCCCUUAAAAUGGAUGGCGCUUAAGUUGUAUACCUAUACAUUACCGCUAAAGUAAAUGAUUUAUAUUCAAUUUAUUUUAACUGAAUUUAAUAAAUUUUGAAACUUUAGUGAGUAGGAGGGUAUAAUGGUGUGCAUAGAAGUGUUUGGCGUAAGCCUGCAUGGAGCCGCCAUUAGCACAGAUCUUGGUGGUAGUAGCAAAUAAUCGAAUGAGACCUUGGAGGACUGAAGUGGAGAAGGGUUUCGUGUGAACAGUGGUUGAUCACGAGUUAGUCGGUCCUAAGUUUAAUGCGAAAGCUGAAUAUUUUCAAAGUUUAAUUUUAUAAAUAUAUAAUAAUAAAUAAUUAUUUGAUAAAAAAUUUAUUACACUUUGAUUUAUAUAUUUAAACGAAAGGGAAUACGGUUCCAAUUCCGUAACCUGUUGAGUAUCCGUUUGUUAUUAAAAAUGGGCCUUGUGCUCAUCCUGGUAACAGGAACGACCAUAAAGAAGCCGUCGAGAGAUAUUGGAAGAGUUUUCUUUUCUGUUUUAUAAUCGUACUACCAUGGAAGUCUUUCGAAGAGAGAUAUGGUAGAUGGAUUAGAAGAGCAUGACAUUUACUGUUGUGUCGAUAUUAUCUCCUCGGACCUUGAAAAUUUAUGGUGGGGUCACGCAAAUUUCUCAACAGGCCGUACCGAUAUCCGCAGCUGGUCUCCAAGGUGAAGAGUCUCUAGUCGAUAGAAUAAUGUAGGUAAGGGAAGUCGGCAAAUUAGAUCCGUAACUUCGGGAUAAGGAUUGGCUCUGAAGAUUGAGAUAAUCGGGCUUGAUUGGGAAGCAAUAUCAUGGUUUAUGUACUCGUUCUGGGUAAAUAGAGUUUGUUUUUUAUAUCAUUUUAAGAUAUGGAAAUGAUCUUGUUCCCCGGAUAGUUUAGUUUACGUAACCAAUUGUGGAACUUUCUUGCUAAAAUUUUUUUAAAAUUUAUCAUCUCUUAACUGGAGCUUGAUAUUUAAUUUUUAAUUUAAUUAUAACGAUUAUCAAUUAACAAUCAAUUCAGAACUGGCACGGACUUGGGGAAUCCGACUGUCUAAUUAAAACAAAGCAUUGUGAUGGCCCUAACGGGUGUUGACACAAUGUGAUUUCUGCCCAGUGCUCUGAAUGUCAAAGUGAAGAAAUUCAAGUAAGCGCGGGUAAACGGCGGGAGUAACUAUGACUCUCUUAAGGUAGCCAAAUGCCUCGUCAUCUAAUUAGUGACGCGCAUGAAUGGAUUAACGAGAUUCCUACUGUCCCUAUCUACUAUCUAGCGAAACCACAGCCAAGGGAACGGGCUUGGAAUAAUUAGCGGGGAAAGAAGACCCUGUUGAGCUUGACUCUAAUCUGGCAGUGUAAGGAGACAUAAGAGGUGUAGAAUAAGUGGGAGAUAUUAUAUUAUUUAUAAUAUUUUAUCAACAAUGAAAUACCACUACUCUUAUUGUUUCCUUACUUACUUGAUUAAAUGGAACGUGUAUCAUUGCUUAGCCAUUAUACGGAUAUAUUUAUAUAUGUCUUAUGGUAUUGGGUCUUGAUGCAAGAUUCUUGAUCAAAGUACCAAGAGUUUGUUAUAUAAUUGUAAACAAAUUUUUUAUGAUUAUUGAUUUUUUUAUAAUAAGUGAAAUUUCGAUUUUAUUUUAUUUUUAUUAAUUGAAAUUAAAUAAAAAUUUGGUAUAACUCCAUAUACUCUGGUAUGAUCCAAUUCAAGGACAUUUCCAGGUUGGGAGUUUGACUGGGGCGGUACAUCUCUCAAAUAAUAACGGAGGUGUCCCAAGGCCAGCUCAGUGCGGACAGAAACCACACAUAGAGCAAAAGGGCAAAUGCUGACUUGAUCUCGGUAUUCAGUACAUACAGAGACAGCAAAAGCUCGGCCUAUCGAUCCUUUUGGUUUAAAGAGUUUUUAACAAGAGGUGUCAGAAAAGUUACCACAGGGGUAACUGGCUUGUGGCGGCCAAGCGUUCAUAGCGACGUCGCUUUUUGAUCCUUCGAUGUCGGCUCUCCCUAUCAUUGUGAAGCAAAAUUCACCAAGCGUUGGAUUGUUCACCCAUGCAAGGGAACGUGAGCUGGGUUUAGACCGUCGUGAGACAGGUUAGUUUUACCCUACUAAUGACAAUAUGUUAUUGCGACAGCAUUCCUGCGUAGUACGAGAGGAACCGCAGGUACGGACCAAUGGUACAAUACUUGUUCGAGCGAACAGUGGUAUGAUACUACGUCCGUUGGAUUAUGCCUGAACGCCUCUAAGGUCGUAUCCGCGCUGGACUGCAAUGAUAAAUAUGGGGCAAUUGCAUUGUAUGGCUUUUAAAUUAUUUUUUAAGUUUUAUAAGUAAUUAUAAAACGACACAAAUAAUUCUAUGUGACGCCAAUGUUAUAUGUAAUAUAAGCUAAUGUAAGAGGAUUCUAUAUCACUUGCAUGUUUAUGCUUUUAAUUACACAUAUUUAAAACAUUAUUUAAUACAAUGACAAUGCCUAGAAUCAAUUGUAAACGACUUUGGUAACGGGCAAGGUGUUGUAAGUGGUAGAGCA
This 3224-nucleotide ribosomal RNA is filed under the name Taeniaptera trivittata. RNAcentral's name for it is "eukaryotic LSU rRNA". It matches the Rfam family "Eukaryotic large subunit ribosomal RNA", at positions 698 to 3351 of the family's 3401-position model. The record is from RNAcentral. Lineage: Eukaryota; Metazoa; Arthropoda; Insecta; Diptera; Micropezidae.